GUCCACGCCGUAAACGAUGAGCACUAGGUGUCGGGGUCGCAAGAUUUCGGUGCCGUAGUUAACGCAUUAAGUGCUCCGCCUGGGGAGGUACGUUCGCAAGAAUGAAACUCAAAUAGAAUUGACGGGGGACCCGGCCACAAGCAGCGGAGCAUGUGGUUUAAUUUCGAAGCAACGCGAAGAAACCUUACCAGGACUUGACAUCCUUCUGACAGGACCUUAACCGGUCCCUCCUUCGGGCAGAAGAGACAGGUGGUGCAUGGUUGUCGU
This 267-nucleotide ribosomal RNA is filed under the name uncultured bacterium. Its description in RNAcentral is "partial 16S ribosomal RNA". It matches the Rfam family "Bacterial small subunit ribosomal RNA", at positions 793 to 1055 of the family's 1533-position model. The record is from RNAcentral.